This 253-nucleotide ribosomal RNA is filed under the name uncultured bacterium. Its description in RNAcentral is "partial 16S ribosomal RNA". It matches the Rfam family "Bacterial small subunit ribosomal RNA", at positions 524 to 776 of the family's 1533-position model. The record is from RNAcentral.
UACGUAGGGUGCGAGCGUUAAUCGGAAUUACUGGGCGUAAAGAGUGCGUAGGCGGUUCUUUAAGUCCGCUGUGAAAGCCCCGGGCUUAACCUGGGAAUGGCAGUGGAAACUGGGGGACUUGAAUUGAGCAGAGGGGGGUGGAAUGCCGCGUGUAGCAGUGAAAUGCGUAGAGAUGCGGCGGAACACCGAUGGCGAAGGCAGCCCCCUGGGCUUAAAUUGACGCUGAGGCACGAAAGCGUGGGGAGCAAACAGG